AUUUUAUAACAAUAACUUUGCUAAUUUGCACAUAUAUUUUGUUAUUUUAUUAAAGAGCUUUUCCAGCACUUUACCAUGGAAGCCGUAAACGAAUGAAAAAAUUGGCACCUGAACCUGCAAAAGUUACGUCUGUAAAGUUCUUAGAAUUUCAAUUCUGCUUGCUUUCAAAAAACUCCCAAAAGACUCCCAAAGAUGAAACAGUUCUCUUACAAGCAGGGCUAGGCAGAAGAACUGUAAAUAUUCCAGACAAUGCUGAUCAUACUGAGAUAACCAAAGUACUUCUUCAGGAGUACCCAAAGUUGCAAAACUUAAGAGGUGGUUGGCUGCUCCAAAAAGCCUCAGGGGGCAGUGGACAAAGGAAAACAACAUCUCUGGCCCAGGAUUCCCAGGGCUACACAGCAAAAAUAUUGAAGACGUC
Carassius gibelio (silver crucian carp) is the source of this 418-nucleotide long non-coding RNA. RefSeq lists it as uncharacterized. The transcript has 3 exons. The record is from RefSeq and is a predicted model, not a curated record. NCBI's taxonomy places the organism in Eukaryota, Metazoa, Chordata, Actinopteri, Cypriniformes, Cyprinidae.